RNAcentral lists this transfer RNA (83 nucleotides) under Balaenoptera acutorostrata scammoni. RNAcentral describes it as "tRNA-Ser (AGA) (tRNA-Ser-AGA-8-1)". It matches the Rfam family "tRNA". Rfam says of the family: Transfer RNA (tRNA) molecules are approximately 80 nucleotides in length. The record is from RNAcentral. Lineage: Eukaryota; Metazoa; Chordata; Mammalia; Artiodactyla; Balaenopteridae.
GUAGUUGUAGCCGGGUGGUUAAGGUGAUGGACUAGAAAUCCAUUGGGGUUUCCCUGCCCAGGUUCAAAUCCUGCCGAACUAUG